UGCAGUUCGCUUAGCAGACUCGAGUAAAUUUUGCACAAAUGUGUUGCUAGUUGGAUCUAACUGACCACAAAUUUCGUGAGCCCACUUAACGGAGUAAAAAGCAGUGUUAACAGUACUAAAUGUACCACCAUUAUCUAAUAAAUGUACAAAAUAUAAAGCUAUAUGAAUUGGAGAUGCUGGCAAAGAAAGCAAACUAUGUUCUAUACAAAAUCUUUUCCAUUUCAUAAAACCGUAAUAAUAUUUUUUAUCAGUACUUUCACUUCUG
Molecule: long non-coding RNA, 265 nt
Filed under: Mytilus galloprovincialis (Mediterranean mussel)
Lineage: Eukaryota; Metazoa; Mollusca; Bivalvia; Mytilida; Mytilidae
Source: RNAcentral